Molecule: long non-coding RNA, 1795 nt
Organism: Bos taurus (domestic cattle)
Lineage: Eukaryota; Metazoa; Chordata; Mammalia; Artiodactyla; Bovidae
Source: Ensembl
GUUGAGUCUGGUACUUCCCAAUGACUAGUUGAACUGAACACACAGGUGUACGCAGUUCAGUGAACAGGUGAACUGGUGUUUUGCAUACAGGUGUUUUGCCUAGUUUUAAUUAUUCCCAUGUUUCCCCUGCCUUCUUAGUCCUGUAUUACAGCUGGUCUUUCCGCCCACAGUGUAUUUGCAGGCACCAAGAUGGCUCCGUCUAGAAGAUUUUGCUUCAGUUUUUCUUUGACCUUCAACUGACUGCUCUCAGUGCUUAUAGUUUGGAUCAAGGUGCAUGGAAUAGAAGAUUUUAUACUCAUAAGUUAUAGCCAACAGUGAACAUCUUCUGAUCUAUUCUGCAGAGACCCCGGGUGGCCCAGCCUGACUAGAGAAGCUCACAAAGUGACUCACAACACUGGAGGAGCUGCAGGUCCGCCCUUGGCUCUGUUUUCCUCAUGAAGAACUGUGUUCUCAAGGGAGACCUCUUGAAUUUUCCAGGCAAGGAUACUGGAGUGGGUCACCAUUUCCUGUUCCAGGGGAUCUUCCCACCCGAGGGAUCGAACCUGUGUUUCUUGUGUCUGCUGCAUUUGGCAGGCAGAUUCUUUACCAUUUACCCCUUGGGACGCCUGUGGUCAUUGUGUCGGCAGAUCUUUUACUUUUCUAAUGUGGUCUGUCUUGGUCUCUGUGGUGGAAGGGAUAUGCUUCAGCCUUGCUCCUGUGUUGCAGGAUUUUCUCAGCCAUGUAUUGUCCAAUAGUAGUUGUUACUUAUUCUUAUGAUGCGGAGAGGAAAUCAGGAAAGACUUAUCUUGGUGAUGCCACCUGUUAUUUAUAGGUAGUAAAAUUUGGUUUUUGUAUAUAGUAUUCUGUUAUUGAAUAUUAUUCUUUUGAUUUAUUUUAACCAUUUGUUAAUGUAAAAACUGAUCUUAGCUCAUGGGCUGUACAGAGGCAGGAAAAGGCUGGAUUUGGCCUGUGGACUGUCGUUUACCAUGUCAACUACUCCAACUGAGUAUUUCUGAGUUGUUCUUUGUCACAGUCUGACACGCAGAAAAAUAUGAGGAAACAAGAGGAACGUAAGGGGAAAAUCUCCAAAGUAAGCUGAUUGUGUGAAAAGAGGGAUUGCCUGCUGGGAAAUGUUCACCCUGAGGAUAUUCUUGGUAAAAAAAUAAGAAAUGGCAAGGAAAUGAACUGCAAGAUGGGUUAGAUAUUUUUCUCAUUUCUCCUUUUAUUUUUUUCGUUUGAUGGAUUUCAAGCUUCACAAUGGAAACUGCUAUCACCUCCUUAUUUCAUAAACAGACUGCAAAAGGAGUUAGAAAUACCGUUUUGAAGUCAUCCAACUCCUCUGGUAUACAUGCACUGCAGCAUAUUUAUAUCUUCCUGAUGGCCUUUUCACCUCCCAUGCUAAUCGUGAAUUAAAUUUUUGUCUCAAAGAAGCAGAGCAGCGUAAGAUUUUCUGAAAAAUUGAGACAAACAGUGCUAAUGUCAAGCAAGUGAUUUCUUCAGAGUGCUUUAGGAAGAGGAAGAAAUAAAUGAAGGUUGUUGAAUAGCUACUAUAAACUAAAUAUUAUGUUCGUACGUGUGGAAUGCUUGGCAUACGUGUUUAGCACAGAGUCAACACUAAAUACAUUAAACAUACUGUAUCAGUUAUAAUUAUUACAGUCUUUUUUGAUCUUAAAACAGCCAUGCAAUCGAAAUACUAUGAUGUCUGCCUUGCACUUAGAGAAAAUAAGGAUUGUGAGAGUAAGUAAUUUUUCUCAUGUUACAUAAUUAGUAAGUGGUAGCACUGGCUACAUGGUAGGCUCUCAAUAAGUAUUUGCUG